This 407-nucleotide ribosomal RNA is filed under the name uncultured bacterium. RNAcentral's name for it is "partial 16S ribosomal RNA". It matches the Rfam family "Bacterial small subunit ribosomal RNA", at positions 28 to 526 of the family's 1533-position model. The record is from RNAcentral.
GACGAACGCUGGCGGCGUGCCUAAUACAUGCAAGUAGAACGCAUUUGCAAACGGGUGAGUAACGCGUAGGUAACUGCCUGGUAGCCGGGGCUCACUAUUGGAAACGAUAGCUAAUACCGCAUACUACCAGAUUGUCCUGCGUUGUAUUAGCUAGUUGGUGGGGUAACGGCGCACAAAGGCAACGAUACAUAGCGGACCUGAGAGGGUGAUCGGCAACACGGGGACUGAGAGACGGACCGGACUCCGACGGGAGGCAGCAGUAGGGAAUCUUCGGCAAUGGACGGAAGUCUGACCGGGCAACGCCGCGGGAGUGAAGAAGGUUUUCGGAUCGUAAAGCUCUGUUGUAAGAGAAGCGGUAUCUUACCAGAAAGGGACGGCUAACUACGUGCCAGCAGCCGCGGUAAUUC